GGGCUGUUGGUCUAGUGGUAUGAUUCUCGCUUUGGGGUUUACACCCUGUCACUCACAGGAUGAAGCUCAAGCAUGCGAGAGGUCCCGGGUUCAAUCCCCGGACAGCCCC
Non-coding RNA from Collariella sp. IMI 366227, 109 nucleotides. Lineage: Eukaryota; Fungi; Ascomycota; Sordariomycetes; Sordariales; Chaetomiaceae. The record is from the annotation of a GenBank genome assembly.